UCCCCGUAUGUACUCUCAAAUGUGUUUUCAAAUUAUCUGCUUGGCGAAACUGCUUGAAACAAAUUUCACACUUAUAAGGUUUUUCCCCCGUAUGUACUCUCAAAUGUGUUUUCAAAUUAUCUGCUUGGCGAAACUGCUUGAAACAAAUUUCACACUUAUAAGGUUUUUCCCCCGUAUGUACUCUCAAAUGUGUUUUCAAAUUAUCUGCUUGGCGAAACUGCUUGAAACAAAUUUCACACUUAUAAGGUUUUUCCCCCGUAUGUACUCUCAAAUGUGUUUUCAAACUACCUGCUCCACUAAACUGCUUGAAACAAAUUUCAC
Diabrotica virgifera virgifera (western corn rootworm) is the source of this 321-nucleotide long non-coding RNA. RefSeq lists it as uncharacterized. NCBI's taxonomy places the organism in Eukaryota, Metazoa, Arthropoda, Insecta, Coleoptera, Chrysomelidae. The record is from RefSeq and is a predicted model, not a curated record. The transcript is spliced from 3 exons.